Molecule: ribosomal RNA, 253 nt
Filed under: uncultured bacterium
Lineage: Bacteria
Description: partial 16S ribosomal RNA
Rfam family: Bacterial small subunit ribosomal RNA
Source: RNAcentral
GACGUAGGGCGCGAGCGUUGUCCGGAUUUAUUGGGCGUAAAGAGCUCGUAGGCGGCUUGUUGCGUCGUCCGUGAAAACUGGGGGCUUAACUCUCAGCUUGCGGUCGAUACGGGCAGGCUGGAGUUCGGUAGGGGAGACUGGAAUUCCUGGUGUAGCGGUGAAAUGCGCAGAUAUCAGGAGGAACACCGGUGGCGAAGGCGGGUCUCUGGGCCGAUACUGACGCUGAGGAGCGAAAGCGUGGGGAGCGAACAGG